GUCAAAUGUCUUUAUUACUUAGCUGAAGGAGCUUCGACAUGUAUACUCUGCUUCUGAUUCUGUGCUACAUGCAUAUUUUGAAAGUUGUAGGGUCCAUCAUGUCGGAGGACUCAACAGUGAUCCAGUAUCCACCUGUUGUUGAGGAGGUAGUUGGCGGCAACAUCACCAUGAACUGCAUUCUGGAAGGGUUGACUUCUUACUGUUAUACCGUCGCCUGGAUAAGACUGCCCAAACAACCCGGCGCGCUGCGAGUCCUCAAGAACACCAUUAUCAACACCAGAUCUGAGUAUGAAAUCUUCAAGCAUAUGUGCCCAGUGUCCAUCUACAACGUAACUGUCACCGACUCUGGGAUUUACUACUGUGCUGUCAUAUAUGGCCAGCAGAUCUACUUAGGCAACGGCACCACAGUGAUUGUUAAAGAUGGAACCAAAGCUCCUCCAACCAUUGAAAUCCUGAAACCGCUGAACAGCUACCAUUCCUCUGUCUCUCUCCUGUGUUUGGUGUCAGGAGUGAUACCGUCUCAAGUCCAUGUGUUCUGGCUCAUAGACGGGAGAGAGGACAGUGGACUUACUGAGUCCACCUGGACAGACAACAGUGAUUCAGCCACAGAGUUCACUAGGAACCAGAUUCUGGUCAAAGCAGAGGAGUGGGACAGAGGAGCAGAAUGCACGUGUGUGGUAGAGUUCGAAGGGCAGUACAUCAACAAAACCGUGCAACACAAUGAUUUCUCCACAAUGUGUUACACCAUAGUGAGUCUCUACAGGGUUCUGGGAAUUGUGUCCGCUCUUCUUCUUCUCCUUACACUGACUGCACGGGUACAGCUAUCCUGCAAGAGCAACAAUUCAGGCAAGCGUAAGAAAAGCAACAGAAACCCCCCAAACUAAAGAAAAGGAGGGCUUUGGGAUUCUGUGUUUAUUGUGAAAACUGCAGGAAACCAACAUUCAGAAUUUGAGGGCUCUGAGUGAAUCAGAGUGCUUCAUACCAACUAGGAAGACGUUAAGUAUGUAGUACAUUUUCACUGGGUGUCGAAAGGCUAUAGAAUUUUUACGUGACUUCUUAUUCAAAAAAAAUCCUUUUCACUUUGCUUUUGAUUUCAUUACAUGAAAAUUGUCAGAUAAGCAAUAUGCAUAAAAAAUAAAAUGUGUUAGAAUAGCCUAAUUCUUCCAUAAAGUGAUAUCCUGAAAGUACUGUAGUGAUGAAAUGUUUUUUUUCUCUCAUCUUAUGUCACCAUCUCAAAACAUCCAGUAGAUAUCAGUGUUUACUCAAAAUCUACAACCUACCCUUUCUGUCACUUGUGCGUCCAUUGUAGUGACACUGAUUGAAUGAAGAAUAGCCCCGAAGGAGAUGGCUGCCAUUUUAUAAUCCCAUAACCAAUUGUGCUAUUGUGUAUACUUUUUUGAGCUAUUUGUAACUUUUUAAAAAGUAAGCAUUUCACUGUCAGGUAUUCGGCACGUGUGACAAAUUAAAUUUGAUUUGAGAUAGGCUGGAGCUUUUUUAAACUGUUCUAAAACAUCAGGUAGAAAACUCCAUUAACCAAGUUGUCUGCAUCAACAAUUAAACAAACUAGCCAUCAUUUUUUUAAACUAAGUUUUUAUUUCUGUGAUGGGUCUACAUUGCCCCAUGCUG
Molecule: non-coding RNA, 1626 nt
Organism: Oncorhynchus mykiss (rainbow trout)
Lineage: Eukaryota; Metazoa; Chordata; Actinopteri; Salmoniformes; Salmonidae
Source: the annotation of a RefSeq genome assembly